This 24-nucleotide non-coding RNA is filed under the name Arabidopsis thaliana (thale cress). Lineage: Eukaryota; Viridiplantae; Streptophyta; Magnoliopsida; Brassicales; Brassicaceae. The record is from RNAcentral.
UGGGUUUUAUUUAUUUGGGUACCC